GAUGAAGAACGUAGCGAAAUGCGAUAAGUAAUGUGAAUUGCAGAAUUCAGAGAAUCAUCGAAUCUUUGAACGCAUCUUGCGCUCCUUGGUAUUCUGAGGAGCAUGCCUGUUUGAGUGUCAUUAAAUUCUCAACUACACUGACUUUGAAUUGGUGUGGCUUGGAUUUGGGGGGAAAAUUGUUGUGGGCUUUUUGUAUAGUCUGCUCCCCUGAAAUUGAUUAGCGGUACCUUUGUGGAACUGUCUACAGGUGUGAUAAUUAUCUACAUCUUAGACAUCUGCUGGAAUGCUGCUUUCUAAACCUUACUUGUAUUGACAAUCUUGACCUCAAAUCAGGUAGGACUACCCGCUGAACUUAAGCAUAUCAAUAAGCGGAGGA
RNAcentral lists this unclassified non-coding RNA (376 nucleotides) under soil metagenome. RNAcentral describes it as "partial contains 5.8S ribosomal RNA, internal transcribed spacer 2, and large subunit ribosomal RNA". The stretch from base 1 to 120 matches the Rfam family "5.8S ribosomal RNA", at positions 35 to 154 of the family's 154-position model. The record is from RNAcentral.